UACAGAGGUCUCAAGCGUUGUUCGGAUUCAUUGGGCGUAAAGGGCGCGUAGGCGGCGGGGUAAGUCGGGUGUGAAAUCUCAGAGCUCAACUCUGAAACUGCACUCGAUACUGCUCUGCUUGAGGACUGGAGGGGAGACUGGAAUUCACGGUGUAGCAGUGAAAUGCGUAGAUAUCGUGAGGAAGACCAGUGGCGAAGGCGGGUCUCUGGACAGUUCCUGACGCUGAGGCGCGAAGGCCAGGGGAGCAAACGGG
Molecule: ribosomal RNA, 253 nt
Filed under: uncultured bacterium
Lineage: Bacteria
Description: partial 16S ribosomal RNA
Rfam family: Bacterial small subunit ribosomal RNA
Source: RNAcentral